Molecule: ribosomal RNA, 497 nt
Filed under: uncultured bacterium
Lineage: Bacteria
Description: partial 16S ribosomal RNA
Rfam family: Bacterial small subunit ribosomal RNA
Source: RNAcentral
GAUGAACGCUGGCGGCGUGCCUAAUACAUGCAAGUCGAGCGAACGGACGAGAAGCUUGCUUCUCUGAUGUUAGCGGCGGACGGGUGAGUAACACGUGGAUAACCUACCUAUAAGACUGGGAUAACUUCGGGAAACCGUAGCUAAUACCGGAUAAUAUUUUGAACCGCAUGGUUCAAAAGUGAAAGACGGUCUUGCUGUCACUUAUAGAUGGAUCCGCGCUGCAUUAGCUAGUUGGUAAGGUAACGGCUUACCAAGGCAACGAUGCAUAGCCGACCUGAGAGGGUGAUCGGCCACACUGGAACUGAGACACGGUCCAGACUCCUACGGGAGGCAGCAGUAGGGAAUCUUCCGCAAUGGGCGAAAGCCUGACGGAGCAACGCCGCGUGAGUGAUGAAGGUCUUCGGAUCGUAAAACUCUGUUAUUGGGGAAGAACAUAUGUGUAAGCAACUGUGCACAUCUUGACGGUACCUAAUCAGAAAGCCACGGCUAACUACGUG